UACGUAGGGGGCAAGCGUUGUCCGGAUUUAUUGGGCGUAAAGAGCGUGUAGGCGGCUUUACAGGUCUGUUGUGAAAACUCGAGGCUCAACCUCGAGACGCCGGUGGAAACCGUAAAGCUAGAGUCCGGAAGAGGAGAGUGGAAUUCCUGGUGUAGCGGUGAAAUGCGCAGAUAUCAGGAAGAACACCCGUGGCGAAGGCGGCUCUCUGGGACGGUACUGACGCUGAGACGCGAAAGCGUGGGGAGCGAACAGG
This 253-nucleotide ribosomal RNA is filed under the name uncultured bacterium. RNAcentral describes it as "partial 16S ribosomal RNA". It matches the Rfam family "Bacterial small subunit ribosomal RNA", at positions 524 to 776 of the family's 1533-position model. The record is from RNAcentral.